GACGAACGCUGGCGGCGUGCUUAACACAUGCAAGUCGAACGGUAAGGCUCCAGCUUGCUGGGGUACACGAGUGGCGAACGGGUGAGUAACACGUGGGUGACCUGCCCUGCACUUCGGGAUAAACCUGGGAAACUGGGUCUAAUACCGGAUAGGACCGCACCGUGAGGGUGUGGUGGAAAGUUUUUUCGGUGUGGGAUGGGCCCGCGGCCUAUCAGCUUGUUGGUGGGGUAAUGGCCUACCAAGGCGGCGACGGGUAGCCGGCCUGAGAGGGUGGACGGCCACAUUGGGACUGAGACACGGCCCAGACUCCUACGGGAGGCAGCAGUGGGGAAUAUUGCACAAUGGGCGGAAGCCUGAUGCAGCGACGCCGCGUGGGGGAUGACGGCCUUCGGGUUGUAAACUCCUUUCACCAUCGACGAAGGGUUUCUGACGGUAGAUGGAGAAGAAGCACCGGCUAACUACGUG
This 465-nucleotide ribosomal RNA is filed under the name uncultured bacterium. RNAcentral's name for it is "partial 16S ribosomal RNA". It matches the Rfam family "Bacterial small subunit ribosomal RNA", at positions 28 to 507 of the family's 1533-position model. The record is from RNAcentral.